RNAcentral lists this ribosomal RNA (255 nucleotides) under uncultured bacterium. Its description in RNAcentral is "partial 16S ribosomal RNA". It matches the Rfam family "Bacterial small subunit ribosomal RNA", at positions 793 to 1055 of the family's 1533-position model. The record is from RNAcentral.
GUCCACGCCGUAAACGAUGGAUACUAGCUGUUGGGAGCAAUCUCAGUGGCUAAGCGAAAGUGAUAAGUAUCCCACCUGGGGAGUACGUUCGCAAGAAUGAAACUCAAAGGAAUUGACGGGGGCCCGCACAAGCGGUGGAGCAUGUGGUUUAAUUCGAUGAUACGCGAGGAACCUUACCAAGGCUUAAAUGUAGAUUGACCGGACUGGAAACAGUUUUUUCGCAAGACAAUUUACAAGGUGCUGCAUGGUUGUCGU